Molecule: transfer RNA, 78 nt
Filed under: hydrothermal vent metagenome
Description: tRNA-Pro-TGG
Rfam family: tRNA
About the family: Transfer RNA (tRNA) molecules are approximately 80 nucleotides in length. Their secondary structure includes four short double-helical elements and three loops (D, anti-codon, and T loops).
Source: RNAcentral
CUGGGUGUAGCUCAGCUGGAUUAGAGUGCUCCGCCUGGACCGGAGAAGGCGCAGGUUUGAGCCCUGCCACCCAGACCA